UCAGGCCUAACACAUGCAAGUCGAGCGGAUGACGGGAGCUUGCUCCUUGAUUCAGCGGCGGACGGGUGAGUAAUGCCUAGGAAUCUGCCUGGUAGUGGGGGACAACGUUUCGAAAGGAACGCUAAUACCGCAUACGUCCUACGGGAGAAAGCAGGGGACCUUCGGGCCUUGCGCUAUCAGAUGAGCCUAGGUCGGAUUAGCUAGUAGGUGAGGUAAUGGCUCACCUAGGCGACGAUCCGUAACUGGUCUGAGAGGAUGAUCAGUCACACUGGAACUGAGACACGGUCCAGACUCCUACGGGAGGCAGCAGUGGGGAAUAUUGGACAAUGGGCGAAAGCCUGAUCCAGCCAUGCCGCGUGUGUGAAGAAGGUCUUCGGAUUGUAAAGCACAUGAAGUUGGGAGGAAGGGCAGUAAGCUAAUACCUUG
Molecule: ribosomal RNA, 426 nt
Filed under: uncultured bacterium
Lineage: Bacteria
Description: bacterial SSU rRNA
Rfam family: Bacterial small subunit ribosomal RNA
Source: RNAcentral